UUGUGUAACUACUAGAAGUUUGAAUGGAAGGUGGAAUAAAAGUGGUUCCGUCCACCUAAAAUCUGCUAUUCAAACUUUUGUCGUAUAAGCAUCGACACUAGUAUAAAUAAAAGAAAAUGCAAAGAAAGCUCUAGUCAGACUGAGUAACUUAGAAAGAUCUCAAAAUAAUGGAUCUACAUGUUCUCCAAACCACGGUAGUUAAUGCAUUAAAGAGCUUCAUGGACGAAACUCUUCCUGCCGUCCAUAAUUCGAUUUCCCAGUUGAGCCGCGUGGAGGACCUUCAAACUGCUUUGACACAUCUUCGUAGUCUCAAGACUUUGGUCACCAACCCCGAAAAUUUUGAUGGGGUUCUUAAUCAAGAAGCAACUGACCGUUUGGAUUUUGAGAGAGGGCGUGUAAGACAACGGAUUGAUCGAUUACGUGCAAGGCUUGAAUCUCUUAACGAACUUAUUAUCAUGGGGCAUAACCAUGCUUUGAAUAUGGAGCGUGUUGUGUCUCGUCUCAAUGGAAUUGAUAUAGACACAGAUCCGGCUGGUAUUCUUGGGGCUCCAGUUGUUUAGACAAAUAAGUUCAUUUGGGUGCACUCCUAGCUUCUCCAUUUCAUUCGUUUAUAAAGGGAUGUGCAUGCAAAUCACUUAAUUAGCUGGAUGAGCCUACGUCAAUUUCAUUUGGCAUGGGCCUUAUGUGCCAAGUCUCUUUGAGCGACAAUAUUAUAUGCAAAAGCAGAUAAGACCGCGUAUAUUCUUACCUAUUGGUUUUUAUAACUUUAUAUUCUAGAAGCCAUCCACGUGAUAGUAUUGCUGUAUAUAUGCACUGCAUUUAUAUAAUUUUUCAGGUAACUUGGAUACUGUCAUAUUUUAUGAAGAGAAUUUGCACUCCAUUUUCACUCCAAAAUUACAAGAAAAUAUACUUUGGAGUGAAUAUUAUAACCAGGAUCGGCUUAGGUAUAGGGGCAAGGGAAACAUGGACCUUGAGCCCAAAUUUGUUUUUGCAUAAUUAGUAUUAAAAAGAAUCUGAUUUUUACAAAAAUUAAGAAAAGAGAUCUAACUUUUUUAAAUUAUCUAUAAAAUAUAUGCAAUUUUUUUUGAGAAACUAUUUUGUGAAGGACCUAUAAUUUACUUGAGCCGGCCCUGAAUAUAAUGUACUAAAAAGUAAUUCAACUAAGAGGUUAAAAUAGACACUAUGGGAGUAAUUAUCCGGCUGUGAAUAAUUAUGUUCACCUUAAUGCCUUGGUGAAAAUUAGAGUUAAGCACGUUGUGGACUUUCUAUGUUAAUAUAUUGUUCAGUUGACUUUACAUAAUUGUAAGCAUGUUUGGUUAAAAAAAAUCUAAAAAGUAUGAGAAUAUUUGUUACAUUGAAACCCAAAGCGUAGAGUUUCUAGAAUGGGUCUUUGUCCUUAGUUUUAUAUUUUAGGGCAAUUUUCUUUCAUUUGGAUUUUUUUGUUGUGACCGUUUGGUGGACUCGUUCAUAAAAUAUCUUAUUUUAUAUAUAAAGUAGAGUUGUGUUCUGCACACAGCCCUCCACCCAGAGCCGGUCCUAGAAUUUGAAAGGCCGGAUGCAAAAAUAAAAAUGUGGCCACUUUUAUAAGGAAAAAAAAACAUAAAGAAAAAAUAGAUAGUGAAAUUGUGGUCACUGGGUGUCGAACCCUUAUUCUGAUGAAAAUGUGGACAAGAGUUAACCACUACACUAAAGAAAACAUUUAUGAAAUGUGGCCAAAUUUAGUUAAUAAAAUACACGGCCGCAAGCGGGUGCUUCGUUGGCUUCAUGCAAGGGCCGGCACUGCGGCUCCACCUCAUCAAGGAGAUAGGGGCAAAUCGUGCUACGGCAGCAUAUCUUUUUUAAAGUUUUCUGCUGUGUGUUUUGUUAUAAGAGCAUCACUCGAGAGUAAUGAUAAUGGGCUUUGCGUAAACAUUUAACGGCCCAAAUAGAACUAACCUAAUUCGACAUUCUCGACCACGUCAAGUGCGCUGAUUCUCUCCUUUCUGCAGAAGCUUCUCCGUUCCACAUCCUCUUCCCAUUGAUGUCUCUAAGAAACGUAUGUAGUUAUGCCUUUCAAUCCAUGAUGUCCUAUUUGUAGACUGUGUGUUCCGGUUAAUAUCAUCUUUCCGUUUGCACAAGAUCACUGAAACCCAAACACGCUCACAGUUUACUCAUGAAAUGGCGAAUCAGCAACUGUAAUCGUCUUCGUUUCUGGGAAGCUCCGAAUUUAAAGCAAUGAGAAGAACUCACUGGUGUUGAUAUGGUUUUUGUCAAUGGAAAGUCAAGCAUGAUUCGAGGGUUUAUCAAUGUCCACCGACUCAACUCCUACAAACAUAUCCUAAUAGAAGGAAUUUUUUUUAUGAUUUACGAGCUUAGCCUGUUUGCUGUUACUAGGAACCACCAAAGCUUCAUAUUCGAUGAUGCCCAUGUACCUAUUUGAUUCACUGAUCGGAAAAAAUUGGAAGAGUUGGCAGACAACUUGCAGUGUGGACGAAGAUACGAACUGGAAGAAUGGCUGAGUGGAAGAAUAAUGCUCUGAAUGCUAUUGAAGCAAUCAAAUUGAAUCUUGAUGGUCUUUCCCAUAUUACGGAUAACACUAUGAGCCAUGGACCCCUGAACGAGAUGUUUACUAAUGUGGAGGUGUCGAUCCAUCACUUAAACGAAAUUCUCCAAGCCGCCGGGGUCAACAUUCCGAUUGAAGAUGAUAGCGAUGAAGAUGAUGUUUAGAGAUAUAUUUGACAGUUUGGUUUAAAGUUAUGUUAUUAGACAAAUUAACUUUUAUUUGUUAUGUUUAGUUGCUUAUGAGACGAGUACAUAUGGAAAUAAAAUUGCAACACUAAAUAUAUAAUAAUGAAAUAUUCUGUUGUAAUGAAUAUUAAUAUAUCUCUCUCGAGAAAAGAAAAAACAAAAAAAAAACAAAAGAUUUGUUCCUCCACCUUUUAUCUUCUUCUACUAUCACCCGCUGCGGCGGCUUCUCCUUAAAAACCAAACCUCUCACUUACAACACCAAACUGCCGUAAUCACCUGACUGACUCAACCAUAAAAGGAGGCGCCUUGAUUGAGAAUCCCGUCGAAAGGAAUGAACUUUCGGGGGAAGGAGGGAGGCUGUUUACGCAAGACCCGCCAAAAAUGGUUGAUCAGACUUUGAAAAUCAGAGAGGAAAGAUAUCGACAAGAGAAACUUGGAUGGAGAAGGAGAUGUGCGAGAAGAAUCUGGCUCCCAACUUGCCUUAUGUGAAACUUGGGUUGUGUUUGAAAGUUGUUAGAGAAGGAAGAACAAGAGCAAAAAGGUGCUUAUGCGCCGCCCCCACAUUGAUACGUUUGACUACAGAAGAAGAAAUGAGCUUAGAGAAAGGGCAUUAUCUAAGAUGUGAUGUUGAGCUCAAGCUUUCUGGAAGAUAUCCUCUUGUUAGCUAUCAACAUUUUGUUCCAUCUUCACUUGCUAGCAAAGAUAUAUAGACUGAAUAUAAUAAGUUCAAUCUUGACUUCAGGGGUCGUGCAUACCCCAAUGCAUCCUCAUCUGAGUUCUGAUCUUUGCCGUGGAGUUUGCUCAAGGACGUCCAUUUGGAAAGUCAGGCUUGUAUUGGCUGAAAGUACAUUUAGCAAACCUCUACGCAGGUGGGCGUCUUGCUUACCAUUUGAAUGAUACAAUAGAUUCUGCUGAAAACGAUGGUCGUUGAAGGCUGAGGAUCCUUUUCAGGGCUCAUUCUGGCACAAGCCUUGAAAAGCCCCUUCACCUUAUUCUGUAAUCUCCAACUUGCCUAUUGUAUUAACCUAGCUCUAGACUUUCCUUUUUUGUUUGUUACUAGACAAUUGGUUUCUGUUGGAGACUCUAGUUUGAGAAAUUGGGUUUCACUCUUUGCAUUGAACUGUGAAACAACGCUAGUAACGUUUUCUAUUCA
RNA transcript from Brassica napus (rape), 3880 nucleotides. RefSeq lists it as uncharacterized. The transcript is spliced from 8 exons. Lineage: Eukaryota; Viridiplantae; Streptophyta; Magnoliopsida; Brassicales; Brassicaceae. The record is from RefSeq and is a predicted model, not a curated record.